Molecule: ribosomal RNA, 374 nt
Filed under: uncultured eukaryote
Lineage: Eukaryota
Description: partial 18S ribosomal RNA
Rfam family: Eukaryotic small subunit ribosomal RNA
Source: RNAcentral
CAAUAGCGUAUAUUUAAGUUGUUGCAGUUAAAAAGCUCGUAGUUGGAUUUCGGUUAAGAGCGACCGGUCCGCCGUUUGGUGUGCACUGGUUGGUUUUAACUUCCUGUAGAGGACGUGCUCUGGGUUUAACGACCUGGACUCGGAGUCUACGUGGUUACUUUGAAAAAAUUAGAGUGUUCAAAGCGGGCUUACGCUUGAAUAUUUCAGCAUGGAAUAACACUACAGGACUCCUGUCCUAUUUCGUUGGUCUCGGGACGGGAGUAAUGAUUAAGAGGAACAGUUGGGGGCAUUCGUAUUUCAUUGUCAGAGGUGAAAUUCUUGGAUUUAUGAAAGACGAACUUCUGCGAAAGCAUUUGCCAAGGAUGUUUNCAUUA